Lates calcarifer (barramundi perch) is the source of this 1409-nucleotide long non-coding RNA. RefSeq lists it as uncharacterized. NCBI's taxonomy places the organism in Eukaryota, Metazoa, Chordata, Actinopteri, Centropomidae. The transcript has 4 exons. The record is from RefSeq and is a predicted model, not a curated record.
UCUUAUCAUAUGUGACAGUAAACAGCCCGUUCUGAGACAAAUAUUUAUCUGUGUUUUCAUGGUUAAACUGUUGAUGAGGAAUAGGUAGUAGUAUAUUGAUAAUUUUCCUUUGUUUCUCUUUGAUUUCCUCCAGGUGUCACCACUUGGUCCACAACAUCUUCCACAACUGCCAAGAUGUUGUCCACAAUCGCAGAGACAUGGUCCACGAUUUUAGAGACCUUGUUGAGGAUGAGGGAGGCAUUGUCCACGAUUGUAGAGACCUUGUCAAAGAUGAGAAAGACAUUGUCCACGAUCAGAAACAUUGUCCAUGAUUCACAGAGACAUUGUCUGUGAUCACAGAGACAUAGUCCACAAUCAGAGUGAGUCUUCGUCCAGUGAAGAAGUUCUUCGAGACCAUGACAGAGGCCUCCAGGUGUCACCGCUUGGUCCACGUCAUUAUCCAUGAUUGCUGAGACGUCAUCCACAGUGAUAUGGUGCAUGAUUGGAGAGACAUUGUUGAGGAUGAGGUAGACAUUGUCCACAAUCAGAGACACUGUCUAUGAUCUCAGAGACGUAGUCCAUGAUCUCAGAGUCCUCAUAUAACAAAGAAGUUCUUUAAGACCAAGACAGAAGCCUCCAGCUGAAUUCACAGAGACAAUAGGAUCCACCAAGGGUGAAGGAGGAGGAGAAGACUGCAUCACCUGAAGAGGACAACAAAAUUAGUUAAAUAUUCUUAAAGAUGUUUUGUGGUGUAUAAGACUUAAAUAAGCAUAUCCUCAUAUGUGCUCAUCACUACAUUAUAUUUGGGGUGCGAGAAUACAACAAAGUGUCUCCAGGUGGUCAAUCAUCUGUCAUUAUCUCUGCUGUGGUUUGUUAAAUGUUGUCUAGAAGAGAAUCAAUAAAGUUUUGUAUGUUAACCUUUGAGUUUCUCUAUUUUCAAAUUAAUAAUCUCCGCUUUGGGUGAAACCCUAACCCUAACCCUAACUGAAAUGUAGAAUUAAGACUGAAAACUCAAAUCUCUGGCUAAAAGCAGCAAUCCUAAUCCUAACCUCUGGCUACAAGUGGUUAAAAAACCUGUAACCCUAACCCUAACCCUCACCCUUUGCUAAAAGCCGUAACCCUAACUCUAACCCUAACCUCUGGUUACAAGUGGCUAAGAGUCGUAACCCUAACCCUAACCUCUGGCUACAAGUGGCUAAAAGCCGUAACAACUUUUAGCCACUUGGUCACAGGUUAGGGUUAGGGUUACAGGUUUUUUAACCACUUGUAGCCAGAGGUUAGGGUUAGGGUUAGGACUUUUAACCACUUGUAGCCAGAGGUUAGGGUUACGACUUUUAGCCACUUGGUCAGGGGUUAGGGUUAGGGUUACAGGUUUUUUAACCACUUGUAGCCAGAGGUUAGGGUUAGGGUUACAGCUUUUAGACACUUGU